UACGAAGGGGGCUAGCGUUGCUCGGAAUCACUGGGCGUAAAGCGCACGUAGGCGGACUCUUAAGUCGGUGGUGAAAUCCUGGAGCUCAACUCCAGAACUGCCUUCGAUACUGGAGAGCUUGAGUCCGGGAGAGGUGAGUGGAACUGCGAGUGUAGAGGUGAAAUUCGUAGAUAUUAGCUAGAACACCAGUGGCGAAGGCGGCCAACUGGUCCGGUACUGACGCUGAGGUGCGAAAGCGUGGGGAGCAAACAGG
RNAcentral lists this ribosomal RNA (253 nucleotides) under uncultured bacterium. Its description in RNAcentral is "partial 16S ribosomal RNA". It matches the Rfam family "Bacterial small subunit ribosomal RNA", at positions 524 to 776 of the family's 1533-position model. The record is from RNAcentral.